UACGGGAGGCAGCAGUGGGGAAUAUUGCACAAUGGGCGAAAGCCUGAUGCAGCUAUGCCGCGUGUAUGAAGAAGGCCUUAGGGUUGUAAAGUACUUUCAUCGGGGAGGAAAAACAAAACUAAUAAUUUUAUUUCUUGACGUUACCCGAAAAAGAAGCACCGGCUAACUCCGUGCCAGCAGCCGCGGUAAUACGGAGGGUGCUAGCGUUAAUCAGAAUUACUGGGCGUAAAGAGCACGUAGGUGGUUUUUUUAAGUCAGAUGUGAAAUCCCUGGGCUUAACCUAGGAACUGCAUUUUGAAACUGAAAUACUAGAGUAUCGUAGAGGGAGGUAGAAUUCUAGGUGUAGCGGUGAAAUGCGUAGAUAUCUGGAGGAAUACCUGUGGCGAAAGCGGCCUCCUAAACCGAAUACUGACACUGAGGUGCGAAAGCGUGGGGAGCAAACAGGGAUUAGAUACC
Molecule: ribosomal RNA, 456 nt
Filed under: uncultured bacterium
Lineage: Bacteria
Description: bacterial SSU rRNA
Rfam family: Bacterial small subunit ribosomal RNA
Source: RNAcentral